RNAcentral lists this ribosomal RNA (425 nucleotides) under bacterium. Its description in RNAcentral is "partial 16S ribosomal RNA". It matches the Rfam family "Bacterial small subunit ribosomal RNA", at positions 355 to 776 of the family's 1533-position model. The record is from RNAcentral.
UGGGGAAUAUUGCACAAUGGGCGCAAGCCUGAUGCAGCGACGCCGCGUGAGGGAUGGAGGCCUUCGGGUUGUAAACCUCUUUCGCCAGUGAAGCAGGCCAUCUUCUUUGUGGGGUGGUUGACGGUAGCUGGAUAAGAAGCGCCGGCUAACUACGUGCCAGCAGCCGCGGUAAUACGUAGGGCGCGAGCGUUGUCCGGAAUUAUUGGGCGUAAAGAGCUCGUAGGCGGCUGGUCGCGUCUGUCGUGAAAUCCCCUGGCUUAACUGGGGGCUUGCGGUGGGUACGGGCCGGCUUGAGUGCGGUAGGGGAGACUGGAAUUCCUGGUGUAGCGGUGGAAUGCGCAGAUAUCAGGAGGAACACCGGUGGCGAAGGCGGGUCUCUGGGCCGUUACUGACGCUGAGGAGCGAUAGCGUGGGGAGCGAACAGG